Molecule: long non-coding RNA, 310 nt
Organism: Sinocyclocheilus grahami
Lineage: Eukaryota; Metazoa; Chordata; Actinopteri; Cypriniformes; Cyprinidae
Exons: 4
Source: RefSeq, a predicted model, not a curated record
UGAGAAUCCCAGAAGAUUAUUUUGGGCUACCAAAAAUGAGACUUAAAGAUUGUGUGUAUGUUCUCACAACAGUGCUGAUCAUCUUGAUAUGGUAUUCCUCUAUCAACUGGUCAAAACUCCAAGAAGUUGCCAAACAGUCAUGUAAUGUACAUGAUGAAGUUAGUGAUUUUGUGACCGACUGUGACAAUCGAGGUCUGUUUAAGUCUCAUUUUGGUUGCUGUCCACAUAAACACUGCCCUGUCAACCACUUCCCCUUCCACCUUCACAGCGGUGUAGCCAAUGUGGUGGCUGCAAAAAUCUGCUUUAACAA